UCCUACGGGAGGCAGCAGUGAGGAAUAUUGGACAAUGGUCGAAAGACUGAUCCAGCCAUGCCGCGUGCAGGAAGACGGCCCUAUGGGUUGUAAACUGCUUUUAUACAGGAAGAAUGGUACCUACGUGUAGGUAUUUGACGGUACUGUACGAAUAAGGAUCGGCUAACUCCGUGCCAGCAGCCGCGGUAAUACGGAGGAUCCAAGCGUUAUCCGGAAUCAUUGGGUUUAAAGGGUCCGUAGGCGGUCUGAUAAGUCAGAGGUGAAAUCCUGCAGCUCAACUGUAGCAUUGCCUUUGAUACUGUUAGACUUGAGUUAUUGUGAAGUAGUUAGAAUGUGUGGUGUAGCGGUGAAAUGCAUAGAUAUCACACAGAAUACCGAUUGCGAAGGCAGAUUACUAACAAUACACUGACGCUGAGGGACGAAAGCGUGGGUAGCGAACAGGAUUAGAUACCCUGGUAGUCCACGCCGUAAACGAUGGAUACUAGCUGUUCGACCAACAUGGGUUGGUUGAGUGGCUAAGCGAAAGUGAUAAGUAUCCCACCUGGGGAGUACGCUCGCAAGAGUGAAACUCAAAUGAAUUGACGGA
Molecule: ribosomal RNA, 586 nt
Filed under: uncultured bacterium
Lineage: Bacteria
Description: bacterial SSU rRNA
Rfam family: Bacterial small subunit ribosomal RNA
Source: RNAcentral